Molecule: long non-coding RNA, 2879 nt
Organism: Lytechinus pictus (painted urchin)
Lineage: Eukaryota; Metazoa; Echinodermata; Echinoidea; Temnopleuroida; Toxopneustidae
Exons: 4
Source: RefSeq, a predicted model, not a curated record
UGUGACCAAUCAAAUCUCAUCCUUUUGAAAUAUGCAAAUAUCUAAAGCCGCUGUAUUUCAAAAUACUGAACAACAGCUGACAUUUAACGGCGUAAUUCUGCUUUCUAAAUCGAAUUUAAUCAUUGAUGCCAAGUGGUAUGUUAUUCCUUAGAAUUUAUUGUAUGACAUUCUGAAGUUGAUUUUUGCUUGUAAUAUUCAUAUGUAAAAUCUAAGGUGUGUUUUCUUAUGACAUGUUCGUCGCGAUUUUUGUCAGUCGCUCGCGCCAGCACAGCCGUCAGGCCUGCGCCUGCCGACGACCGAAGGGGCAGCUAUCCGGCACGGCCCGGAGCUCAGGACUCGUCCUAACCCAGAGAGCUCCCGCCCGCGCAGCGGGCGGGAGCCCAGAAGCUUACCGUGUAUUUUACCAUUGUCACCGGACAAGGGUGAUUUAUGGUCUAAAUAUUUCUCCAAAUGAAUUGUGAAAACAGAAAGUAUACAAUUAUCACGAUUAUAUGGAUGAAGGUCUAACGAGUGGCAGAUUCCUGACAUCUGGGCACAGUCUGGAACCUCAAAAAAACGAAAAGUUCUCUCCUUCUACCCCGUCUCGAUCGGCCAUUUUUGUUAAAAAUCGUAACAAAAUGGCCGAUCGAGACUGGGCGGGAGCUCUCUGGGUUAGACUCGUCCGUGUUAAUAGUCAAACAUAGACAGCUGGCAGCCGUCUGUUUCGAGGAGUUUUUUAAAUUUAACAUUUAAAAAAAAAAAUUUCUCCUCAUACACAGACGGCUCGCUAUCGUGCAAUUUUUGUCUUUAAUGAAUCAAACUUUUGAAAAUUAACGCAACCGAAAUGCAAAUUAAUAAUAAUAAUAUUCCCUCUUGCCUCUUCUUGGCAAUAAUUGCCAAAAAACGGGGAAAAUCAAGUUAAAAGGAACAAAAACAGUGACUUACCUCUGCUGUCGCGCAACUUCACUGCCCUGUUUUAUCCGAACUUAAUACACAUAAACAUAUGGCCAUUGAGUCCCCUGUGCUGCCUGUAGUACAGAUCGCGCUAGAAGUACUAGAACUUCGGUCUCUGUAUUUGGUGAGUGAAGCCAACGGAGUUCAGCUGAACAACCAACAACAGAGACCGAAGCUUUUGGUCUAAGUCAAACAUAGAUAUAGUACUCUUCUUCUUUGGGCAGUAGAGCCAGAGGCGCUGGUCAGAAAAUUGGGAUUGUCCCAGUUUACAGGGACUGUCUCAGUUUUCAAAGAUUUCUCCACACAAGAAAUCUAGGAAAGUUCAUUCACCUGUCAAUAGGGUGUCUGGAGAAAAAAAUUAUUUUUCUUAUUUCAAGAAAAUAUCACAUUUUCUUUGUGAAUUUGAAGAGAAAUGACCUUCCUUCAGACUAACAGAAAUGUAACAUUUAAAAAAAAAAUCCAAUUAUAGGCUGCAAAAAAGAAGAAAGAAAUUAGGUCAAUUUUCAGUAUUUCUCUGCCAUAAGCCCAUAGGCCCGUAUUCUGAAGUCGGGUUUAACUUAAACCUCAGGUUUAAGUCCGGUCUAACUCCAGUCUAAAUCUCACUUUAGACCGCGGGUUUAAGAAUUCACUUUCUGAAGUCCGGUUUAACUUAAAACCUCGGUCUAAGUCGAGUCUAACUUGCGCAAAAUUUAGACUCCGCCUAGGGGUAGUUUAAACCAUGGUUUAACUUUCAAAAUGGCUGAUCUGCUAGCUGCCUUGCGACGGGGAGAGCAAAUGCUCGAAUGGAAUCAAAGACAGAUCGAAAGGCCAUUGGUGGAAAGGAAAAACCCCUUUCAUAUUUAUGAGAACAACGAAUUUCUGCAGCGGUAUCGCUUCACGAAGCAAACUGCGUUACACAUUAUCGAGGAACUGACGCCAGCUUUGGAGAGACACACAAGUCGCACUAAUGCGGUGCCAGAGCACCUUCAAGUUCUCACCGCCAUGCGUUUUUACGCAGUUGGCAGUAUGCAAUCACAAUGGACUGCUAAUCAACCUUGUUGCCAGGUGGCCAGGAGCAACUCAUGAUUCCAAAAUAUUCAGAGAAUGCCAACUGAAAAAAAAUCUUGAACGAGAAAGUCAUGAAGAAAAAUGGCUUCUUGGCGACAGUGGGUGGAGGCUACAACCAAACUUUUCAGACAGACAUGAGAUACAAAGUUACACAAGUAUAAAUGGUUGAAGGUUUAGGAGAGCCAGACAAGAAGGCAGGAAAUGUGAUGUCACUUUUACUUCAAUGAACAUGGACAGCAGCAGGAGCAACAACAGCAUCAGCAGCCGAAACUACAACUGCAGUAAGAGUUGCAACAACCACACCGACAACAUCAACAGCAGCAGGAGCUCCAACAACCAUGCAGGGAACAUCGGGCGCAACAUAAAUAACUUCAUCAAGAGAUGCAACAACCACAGUGGUAAACAUCAACAGCAGUAGCAACAAUGACAGUAGAAACAAAGCCAGCAGCAAGGAUUCUAACAAGCAAUCAUACAAGCAACAACACAAGCGACAACAUCAAUAAAUGCAUCAGGAGAUGCAACAGCCACACUCGUAAACAGCAGCAGGAGCAGCGAUGACAACAGCAACCACACAGGCAACACCUUGAGCAACGUCAGUAGCAAAAAUAACUUAUUGCACCAGGAGAUGCAACAACCACACCCACAACACCAAGAGCAGCAAAAACAAACAGCAAUUCCAGCAAUCACGAUGACAACAGCAGCAGCAACACCAACAACGCUAAUGAACAUUGAAAAAACUUGUACAAAAGUCAAUGAGGUCGCAUUUUUCAGACAUUAUCAGACAUUGAUUAAAAAGUGCACAAUAAUUUAUUUGGGUUAAAGAAAAUUAUGUUUGAAAAAAUGUGUACAUUUGAAGAUGUUUACUAUGUAUUGAUUGAUAUAAUAUAGUUUUGAAGAUG